RNAcentral lists this transfer RNA (100 nucleotides) under Gnomoniopsis smithogilvyi. It matches the Rfam family "tRNA". From Rfam's summary of the family: Transfer RNA (tRNA) molecules are approximately 80 nucleotides in length. The record is from Rfam by way of RNAcentral. Lineage: Eukaryota; Fungi; Ascomycota; Sordariomycetes; Diaporthales; Gnomoniaceae.
GGUCCCGUAGCUCAGCUGGUUAGAGCGUCGUACUAAUAAUUCUCUUAAAAGGAAUGAUUAAGUGAUGCGAAGGUCGCGAGUUCGAUCCUCUCCGGGACCA